GAGAGCUUGCUUUCUAGAGACCGGCGCACGGGUGCGUAACGCGUAUGGAAUCUACCUUUCACAAAGGGAUAGCCCAGAGAAAUUUGGAUUAAUACCUUAUAGUAUUAUAGAAUGGCAUCAUUUUGUAAUUAAAGAUUUAUCGGUGAAAGAUGAGCAUGCGUCCCAUUAGUUAGUUGGUAAGGUAACGGCUUACCAAGACUACGAUGGGUAGGGGUCCUGAGAGGGAGAUCCCCCACACUGGUACUGAGACACGGACCAGACUCCUACGGGAGGCAGCAGUGAGGAAUAUUGGACAAUGGGCGCAAGCCUGAUCCAGCCAUGCCGCGUGCAGGAUGACGGUCCUAUGGAUUGUAAACUGCUUUUAUACAGGAAGAAACACCUCUACGUGUAGAGACUUGACGGUACUGUAAGAAUAAGGAUCGGCUAACUCCGUGCCAGCAGCCGCGGUAAUACGGAGGAUCCAAGCGUUAUCCGGAAUCAUUGGGUUUAAAGGGUCCGUAGGCGGUCAGGUAAGUCAGUGGUGAAAGCCCAUCGCUCAACGGUGGAACGGCCAUUGAUACUGUCUGACUUGAAUUAUUAGGAAGUAACUAGAAUAUGUAGUGUAGCCGGUGAAAUGCUUAGAGAUUACAUGGAAUACCAAUUGCGAAGGCAGGUUACUACUAAUGGAUUG
Molecule: ribosomal RNA, 670 nt
Filed under: Bacteroidetes bacterium 215-60
Lineage: Bacteria; Pseudomonadati; Bacteroidota
Description: SSU rRNA
Rfam family: Bacterial small subunit ribosomal RNA
Source: RNAcentral